This 22620-nucleotide long non-coding RNA is filed under the name Medicago truncatula (barrel medic). RNAcentral describes it as "long non-coding RNA (MTRU_LNC000189)". The record is from RNAcentral. Lineage: Eukaryota; Viridiplantae; Streptophyta; Magnoliopsida; Fabales; Fabaceae.
GAACAAGGGAGUUGCUAAACUGUUCUAAGGAGCAAAAUGGUGGUCAAUAAAUUGGUAACACUGUCCAUGAUGACUUCACUGUUUUAUGAAAAUGUGUCCAUUGUUCCUUGGAAGAUCAUCAAUAAUUGGAAGAACUCUAUCUCUCUCCUACAUAUUAUGCACUUUAGAGUACCUCAUAUUUGGUCCCCUUUGGUUCUCUAUGUAUAUUUGUUUUUGUGAUUAAUAUGAUAUUGUAGUUGUUGCAAGAGAUUGGUUUUUCCUUUGGUGUCAACCUAGUUGGGAUCAUUGGUUUGGACAAUGAUGUAUUUUCAUUCCUUCAUUUUUAUAAACAUAAAUCUUACUGGGCUAUGUAAAUUUGGCAUAACUAAACCAGCGAAACAAACUAUCAUUAACAUGUUGUGAACGGAUUGCCAUCAUUGGAUUCAGAUUUAACAGCAUUCAUUUCUUACCAGGAACAAUUAAUAUAUGAAGAAGACACAUUGACCACUAAAACUAUUUGAAAAAUAGCAGCUCAUUUCCAGUGUAAUAGAAGUGGAUACACAUGGGUAGGAACUUUGUCUACAUAUAUAUACAUACAUUACUGUGUUGUAUACGAUACACAUAGAUUCAUGUGCGACGCACAAGUGCGCGGACAAGUUUAUAUAUUCAAAUUUUCAGGACUGUUUUGAGAGAAAAAGGUGUGACACAAACCUAGGGUUGAUCAAAGGGGAUUCUUAGGGUUUCUAAAGCUAGGAGUAAAGUCAUUUUGGGUCACAUUCUAGGGUUAAGAAACAAUCAAAGCCACAUGAAGAGAUUUGGGGUAAGGGCAGAAAUUAAGGUUUAUCAUCAUAAGUUAAUUUCAUGUGAUCUGGAUAUCUCUUUGGAAAGAAACUCUUUGAUAUUAAAUUGGAGAAUUUUUCAGCGUCUGAAGCAGAGUUAUGAAAUGGAGUGGUUUAGAACACAAACACAAAGAGAAAGAGAGAGACACAAAACAAUUUAUACUAGUUCAUCUCACUAACCGAUAGUAGUCUAGUCCCCUUGCACUUUCAAGAGAUUUUCACUAUAAUCACUAAAUAUUACUGAUGUAGUAUCAAAAGUAAGUAUUUUUGUUAUCGUCUCCACAUGGACUAGUGCGAUAUUCUAAGCCGUUCAACAAUCAGUAUCGUUCUGAGCUAAGGAUUCGAUAUUUUUUUGUUUCAUGAACUAUAAAACUACAGACUUGUAAGAGAUAUGAGAGUUAACAAGGAAAUGAUUAUGUUGGGAUUAAACUUCAUCAACCUACAUAUACGUAUUCUAGGAUUAGUGUUGCGGAUUCUAAUUAUCAAUUGAUAUUAUCACAUAUUGCUCAACAACAUCAUUCGUGUCCAAUUGAUGUCGUGAUUUCUAUUGAGUCGUCUAAUCGUCGAUUUCCCAAACUAUUAAACUUUCCAAUAGUCGAUUGUAUCGUUGUAUAGUUGACUUUUCAAACUAUACAAUGAUACGAAAGCUUUAAGUUCCAAUAUUCAAAGUGAUUAUCAAACCUAAGUUCCAUGUCUAGAACCUAAGCAUUGAUAGAAGAUUAUUCUCAACUAGAUUCAAAAUGUAUUUUUCAAUAACAAUUUAAAUCCAUAGGAUAGAAAUGAAAAGCAAGAAUAACAUCAAUAUCUUAAGAUAAUUUAGAAUCACACAACAUCCAAAUCAAAGGGAAUACAUACUAAUAGAGUUAACUACAUUUAAUCCCAACAAAAAGAGUUUAGCUACUCAUUGUCAUGGUAACCUUACAAGGAGAAAAGAAGAGAUGGAAUGGAAGCAAGCCAUGAUGUCUCAAUGAUCUUGUGAAUCCCUUCAAUCCUUGUGCCUCUUGCUCAUUGAAGUUCUCUUUGUGUUUUCCCUAUUUUCUCUCUUCCUAAAGUGGCUUCUGCAUAUAAGUUAAACAAUGAAUGUCGGUCUCCUGCAUAUAAGUUAAGCACAUUGAGGUAUCCUCACAUUUAGGCUAGUUCUAAGUGGUUCACAAUUAAACACGUUAUUGCGAAGAACCAAAUGAAGUAAAAUUUGUGCAAAGUACUUGCUUCAGAUUCAAGUAAACACCUAGAAAAGCAAGAAACUUAUACCUUGGCUUUGUGCAAUUCAAACAAUAUGUAUCAUCACCAUGCACCUGAUGUGGAUUUGCUGGCCUAAGCUCUUAUUAGAAAGAUAUGAGAAAACUUAGUUUGAUCUAAAUUAAAACCAUAAGGUUGCAGGAGCUUGUGGUAUACCAUAGUGCAAAAGGGUUACCUAUGACAUAGUCUUUAAUCAAACAAUGCAAAAGAAGUAUGUACUGCCUAGAAAUCAAAAAGUGACUGACCUGCUGCAACUCGCCUCGCGAGAAUAUGCUCGCUAUGGCGAGCAAUUUGGUGGUCAAUGCAGUUCAAAGGCAUGAAACACUUGCCAUGGCGAGUAUGUGCUCGCCUAGCGAGUCAUGACAGUUUCAGAAAAUGAAUUUUGACUUCUGCUUUUACUUUUGUGGGUGCAAUGUGAUCUAUACCUCUAAAUUGCAAAAAUAAAGCAUGAAAAACUUAAACAAGGUUGGGUUGCCUCCCAACAAGCUCUUGUUUAAUGUCGUUAGCUCGACACCUUUUUUGUUAGGGUGGCCGAAAUGAAACGGAAAACACAUCAUCUUUUGGAAUCAUGCGCUUUGGGAGGAAUUCCAUGAACUUUAGGUACAACUGAUGCGGAGUCCAUAUCCUCCCUAACUUUGGUUUGUUGAACAAGGCACAUAUCUCAUCUAUGACCCGAUCAAUCUCCACCUUGUUCACUUUCUUCCCCUUUCCUUCCAUUGAUUCUUCCUUGCUUAGUAUCCGUUCCUUUUUCUCUGUCCCCUGCAUCACUUCUUCAUUUUCAACAGUUUCGACCUCUUCAGUAUAUGGCCGUUCUUGAGGAAAUUCUUCUUUAUGUGAUGUGUCUAUUUCUUGUGCAGUUUCAAAUUCACCACAUCCUUCCAUUGUUGUGCCUUCCUCAGUUUGAUCAACUCCUUCCUCAACAAUCUCACUGAAUUCCUCAUUCUCAGUUGAAACAUCUUCGUGCUUUUCAUGAAGGAAUCAAUUGCUGAUUUGAACAUCUAUGUCUGAAAGUUGCAACUGGAUUUUCUCCAUUCGGCAUGAUAAAUUUUUCAAUCUUUGGUUAGUAUCUUGCAUGUUUAUCAUGGAUUUCUCCAUGAACAGAUUCAAAAUAUUUUUCAUCUUUGAUAUUUGUUCAUCUUCAGAAAGAUGUUGUUGAUACUGUUGAUAUGAUUCAUACUCGAAUGGAGUGUAGAAGUUGUUAUAACUAUGAUUAGCCAUGAUUUCGUUUAUGUGACAAACCUGAAACGGAAACAACUAACAAGAAACUUUUCUUUGUAUACCAAAGAAGGGUUAGUGCAAACAACUAUAUGUGCUCCCCGAUUUUCGGAUAUCAAACCAUUGAUUGAUUUGAAUCGUCAAUCUUUGAACUCUCAAUUUUUAUUCGUGGGAAGGGAAAAAAUGAGUAAAAACCCUUAUCGAGACUUUGGAUUCGGGGGUUGGUUUCGAAUAGGGAAGGUGUUAAGCACCCUAAACGACUUCGGUACUCCGAAGGAACCGCUUACCUAGAUUAUCUUGUGCUAAAUUCAUUUGGCUUACUUGAAAAAUUAUUAUCUAAAAUCUAAGUGAAAGAAUGGAGGGAGAAGAAAUAUGUUUUUGGUUUUUUUUAUUUGAUUUGGAAGGACAAGUCCUCUACCUACGUACCCUUUUUUGGGAAAGGGAUCAAAACCGACGUAGUUCCACUCAAAAAUUUCUUUGGUGGGUUAGGUUGAUUUUAAGAUUUUUGAAAAUGGGUUUUAAGAAGAGAAAGAGGCCUCACGGCAUGAGAUAAAAGAAAUGAGUGAGGUUGAUUGAUUUUAAAUUUUGAAAAUGAUUGAAGUUGAAUUAAAAUUGAUUGAGAGUUUAAUUAAGAAAAUAAAGGAAAAAUGUUAUUAAGAAAAUGAUUUUGAAGUUUUGCAUAUUUGAUUUUUUGAGAAAAUGAUUUUUCUAAACUAACGGUGAAAACUAACGUAACGUCGUAGAAAAACGAGCGGAAAACGGUAAAUAAAUUGUGGUAGUGUCGGUGCAAGUGUCGGUGCUUGUGUUACCUACAUUAUUACAUCAAUUCUUAAAUACAACCCUAAGGCCUUUAUGCCAAAAUAAAAUGCAAGAAAUAAAACUUACAUCAAUUUCCUAUUUAUACACGCUAAGUCAAUGACAAAAUAAAAUGAUGAGAAAAUUAAAUGUGCAUGCUAUGAUUCAAAACAAAGAUUAAAUCGUUAGUGAGCAUAAGAAAAUAUUGAGAUGAAAUGAGCAAAAAUUAAAAUGAACAUGUGGAAACAAAUAAUAGACAAAAAAUUAAGAGAUGACAUGUAAAACUAGCAAGUAACAAAUAAAAAUAUCAUAUAUAAAGACACAAUAAGCAAGAAUUAAGAAACAAGGAAGGAAUGAGCCAAGAAAAAAAAAAAAGUAAAAUGGAUUUUAAGACUUGGAGGUUAAAAUGAUGGAAAAACAUUUUUUAGAAUUUUGAAGUGUUAAAAUAUCAAGAAAAUGGAGUAAAAGUAUAAAAAAAAUGAAAAGACAAAUAAAAACAAAGUUUGGCUCAGCAGGAUUAAUUCUGGACCGUUGGAUUAAUCCAGAGGUCCAGAUCUAAAUCCCAAGAUCUCAUCACAGCCAUUGGAUCAACGAUCCAAGGGUUAAAAAACAGAAAAACACUUAAAGGAAAGGAGUGCAUCAUCGGCCGUUAGAUCUACGAUCUAACGGCCUAGCAUUGAGCGCACAUGAUGAGGACGUAAGGUGCUAACGCACCAGAUAGAACAUAAUAGGAGCAGCAUAUAAAAGGAAGAAAACAAUGGAAGAAAACAUAACAAACUAAACCACACUUCUCUCUAAAAAAAUUGCUCACACUGCUCUCUAAAAAACAGAGUUGCAGCGCCGCCGCCUACUUCUUCUUCUCCGGCGAGAAAAGUUUUCCGGCGCGGUGGCCGGUGGUGGCACCACCACGCCGGAAUUUCAAACUCCUCUUUUCUAAAAAACUUUUAACAGUUUUGAAAUUCCUUUUUCGUUCUAGACUCAAAUCCGGAUUCACAAUUUCAAAAACAGUUCACAACAGACCUAGAUCUAACAAUGAAGAUUCGACAAAAACUACCUUCGGUUUCAAAACGGAGAAGACUAGAUCUACUACUUCAGGCUCGGAUCUACUUUCUUUUUGCUAAUUCCCUCCGAUCCGGUUCAGGCGCAUUCCUUUUGUGUUGGAGGAGAUUCGGUUUCCUUCUUCUUCUUCAUGUGACUCGGUUCACUACUUCUUUGAAACCGAUCCAGUUUAUAUGCAUGCCUGAGAAUUCCUUAGAAAACAAAUGAAGGUUUGAGUUCAAUGAGUUGUGUAUGUGUUUACGCUUGAGGCUUGGUGAAAGGAUACGAAAAUGAUUGUUAAAAGAAUGGUUCACAUGAUUUUCGAAUUUGAAAUAUUCAUGAAGUUCAUGAUUUUUUUUAUGGUUUUUUUGAGAGUUUGAUCUGAAAAUGUGGAGAGAGGAUAUGAAUUUAGUGUUUGUUACGGAUCUGUGGCAGUUUUGUGAUGUUUGGAUGAUGAUGAUUUAUGUGUUAGUGUGGAGUGAUUCGAGGUUGAUUCUCGAAAUUUUGCUGGAGAAUAUUGUUCAUGUUGUUCUUGACAUGUUCAUCUAUUUUUCAUUGAUUUUUGAUGAUUUGAUCCGAAAAAGUAGAAAGAGAGAAGGGAUUAGGGUUUGUGAACUUUUGUGGCUGCUGAUUGAUGUGUCAGUGUAAUAAUUUCUGUGCAGCCCCCUCUCUCCAAUGAUUGGACAGUGUACUUAUAGUGACAAAAUAGGGUUGGCUCUGGUACACAUCAAAGACCAAAAUACCCCUGUUGGAGACUUGGGGAUAAAGACUUAACAAAUAAAAAUAAUAAGAAACAAAAAACAGAAAAAUAAAAAAUGACAAAUAAAAUAAAAAUAAAAUAUUAAUUAAUAAUAAUAAAAAAAAAAAGUCCCUUCGAAAUCUGACAUGAGGUACUUCAAAGUAUCCUCCCUGCCGAAAUUUUGUCUGAAAUGAUUAAAAGGACGCGAUUUUUAAAAUAUGAUUAAACCUUUUAAAAUGACUUGAUUAUUAUGACUAACAAGACUAUAAAAUGCGCUCAAAAAGUUAUAAAAAUGCAGAUAAAAGUUUUUAAAUGAUUAAAGAAGAAAAACACGAGUUUUAAAUGGUAAAAAAAACAAAUAGAAGAGAAUGUGGACUAUUUUAAAAUAUGGACAAAAAAGAUUUUAAAUGGUCCAAAUUUGGGGUAUGACACUAUACAAAAGAGAAAAUUAUAUACAAAUUAUAUACAAAUACUCAAAACAAUACAAAUUGUCACAAUGCUUCAAAUAUCGAAACGCCAGUCCCCUGCAGCGGCGCCAUUUUGAUGUAGUAUCAAAAGUAAGUAUUUUUGUUAUCAUCUCCACAGGAAUUGGUGCGAUAUUCUAAGCCGUUCAACAAUCGGUAUCGUUCUAAGCUACAGAUUCGACAUUGUUUUGUUUCAUGAACCAUAAAACUACAGACUUGUAAGAGAUAUGAGAGUUAACAGGGAAAUGAUUAUGUUGGGAUUAAACUUCAUCAACCUAGAUAUACGUAUUCUAGGAUUAGUGUUGCGGAUUCUAAUUAUCAAUUGAUAUUAUCAAAUAUUGCUCAACAACAUCAUUCGUGUCCAAAUGAUGUCGUGAUUUCUAUUGAGUCGUCUAAUCGUCGAUUUCCCAAACUAUUAAACUUUCCAAUAGUCGAUUGUAUCGUUGUAUAGUUGAUUUUUCAAAUUAUACAAUGAUACGAAAGCUUUAAGUUCCAAUAUUCAAAGUGAUUAUCAAACCUAAGUUCCAUGUCUAGAACCUAAGCAUUGAUAGAAGAUUAUUCUCAACUAGAUUCAAAAUGUAUUUUCAAUAACAAUUUAAAUCCAUAGGAUAGAAAUGAAAAGCAAGAAUAACAUCAAUAUCUUAAGAUAAUUUAGAAUCACAAAACAUCCAAAUCAAAGGGAAUACAUACUAAUAGAGUUAACUACAUUUAAUCCCAACAAAAAGAGUUUAGCUACUCAUUGUCAUGGUAACCUUACAAGGAGAAAAGAAGAGAUGGAAUGGAAGCAAGCCAUUAUGUCUCAAUGAUCUUGUGAAUCCUUUCAAUCCUUGUGCCCUUUGCUCAUUGAAGUUCUCUCUGUGUUUCCCCUGUUUUCUCUCUUCCUAAAGUGGCUUAUGUUCUGAUUAUUCUGUCUGAAAUGAAGGAAAUGAGCUUUUAUACAUAUGCUGAAAAAGUGACAUUUCGCCUGGCGAAGUUUGGCUCGCCAUGGCGACUUGAGCUUACAUUGCUAGUGGGUUUCUGCCACAUCACUUUGAUGAGAUAAAACCGCUUUUUUUUCGUCUGGCAGAAUUUCUGCUCUAUAUAGCGAAGUACUUUUGUCCUGUUUUUCCAACUCUAUGGAACUGCUCGCCAUUUGGCUCGCCCUUGUCUCGCCUGGCAAAAUAUUUCGCCUGGCAGGAUUGCUACUUGCCAUGGCGAAGUAGCUUUUGCCGCUUUUGUUCUUUUUGGUCCUUGCUUGAUGUUUUGGCACUCAAUUCCGGCACAAAUGGGUAGAGUAAGAUGAAUAAAGCAUAACAGGUCAAUAAUCACUUUUCUCUCGACUUUUCCCUGAAUAACUUGUGAAACAAGUAACAAACGUGCCGUAAAUAAUCAUUUGAAAUACUAUUUUCUGGUACUUAUCAAUUACAAUUGCUCAAGCACACAAGCAAGAGACUUUAAAUGCUCGAUCGUACAAGAAAGAGACUUCCAAUGCUCAAACACACUAGUAAGAGACUUCUACAAUCGAACUUAAUCAAAUAAAAGAUUUUAUGUGAUUUACACUUGAUGUACAAUCAGAGGUGUAAGCAAUACAUAACAUAAUGAACUCUUAAAACUUAAGAAUUUCUAUGAUAUAAAGUUUCUAAGAAAUUCUAAGUACAAAUGCGCUUUUGAUUUUGACAGAGUAAGGACAAUUUCAAAAUAUGCAAAGUCUUGUUAAUUUCUUCAAGUCUUCAGCUCCUUAUACAGAGGGAAAUCCAAGAGAUGUUGGAGAGGUGCCAAUGCAUUACUUUGAGUCCUUGAGAAACUUGAUCAUAGAUGUUGGAAUUUUUCUUGAUUUGGAUAAUGUCGUUUAAAAUUUUUUGAAAAUCCUUGGCAACAAACAGAAUCAUCUAUUUCACUCCAAUUGUCCUUGAAGUUCUUUGUCUAUUUCUGCACGUGAUCAAAAGAGGACAAAAUAUACUAUCUGAGUCUGAUAGUGAUCUCUUCAGGUUCUCUUCAAAUUUCAAAUGCUCUUAUAUAAGUUCUUUUAGUACCAAACUCUAUUUAAUACAUAGAAUUUCAAUUUAUGGUCUUGCACACUUGAACAUAUAUUAGCAUAUCUAGUUCUUCUUUUAAUACCUUGUUAUCAUCAAAACUUCGAAAACAUUGUGCAAAACCCAUUUUGCUUUAACAAAGAUGGUGGAGCGCAUCAGCACUAUAGUAGUAAUGAGGUGGUAGAAAGCUAUUAUCCCUACUUGUACAUCAUUCUGAGAUGUUAUGCAUGCGCUACACCACGUAGCCUAACGAGGUGGUCACAUUGAUAGACUUUGACUUGAACCAUUUAUUAAGCCUUUGAUUCAUGUUCUUAACGAGCUUUAAUAUUGGGUGAUCCAAAUGAUAAUUGGACCGGGUCUUUUAACCUUGUACCGUUAUAAUAUAAUGAAUAUACAAGUUACAAGCACUUAUAUAAGUGACUUUAUAAAUAGACUAUUACUUUUUUCACCCUAUCGAUUUCCCGUGCCCCUUUUUUUUACGAAAAAUGUCCAUGAGAUUUUCAGAUUCUAUAAUCCGAAAUGAGUUUUCCCCUUAUUUUAGGGUGGAAAAAUGAGUUUUUCACCAAUUCGGAUUUUGUAAUCCAAACACCCUAAAAAAUAUGGCACGUUCCUUGCUUUUUUAGCACUAUAGAAUUCCAACACCCCUUUUGUACCAAGAAUUCAAGGGAAAAGUAGUUUGGAUUAAUCCAAACCGUAUCAACACAAAUACUCAACCUGUUUGACAUGUUGUAUCAUUUUUUACUCUGUUUUUUUGGUUGAGUUUAAAAUCGAAAUUCACAACCAUUGAAAUGAGAGAGAUUUUGAUUGUUGCUUAUUUAUAUAAGCAUAUAUAUUUCGAAUUCUAUAAUCCAAACACAUGAGUAUACAAUCUAAAACCCCAUGAGUAUUUUUAUAAAAAAUAAAUCAAUAGGACAUCUGAGAAUGUAAUUAAUAGGUUGUAUAUAAAUGAGUUGGAUACGUUCGACUCGAUUGUUACAAAAUUGGGCAUGACCCAAAAAUUAGUGGGUCAACCCAACCCAUAUUUCAAUACUAUCAUUUAAAAAAUGUUUGAAAAUUGCUUUUCUCCCUUCAAGAAUGUCCUAAUAAUACAUGGGAAAUUCUAAAAUGCCACCAGCGGUAGUUAACUGAUGUUACGUUUUACCCCAAAAACCAGUACAUGCCUACUUCCCUAUUCACUCAUCACCUUACCUAAAAAAAUCCCCCAUUAAUUUUUUUUUGUUGAAACAUUGAUUCCAAAUCUUUGUUGACGGAUUGCUAGCUCGUUUCUACAGACAUUUGACAUCAAAAAUAGGUAUUGCAACGUUAAACUCGUUUCCAUUUGAUUGAGUUUCCAGUUUUUUUUUCCUGACAUGCAGCUUAGCGGUAGUUAACUACCGCUCAGGUUGAAGAACCAGCUGCAGUUAACUAACGCCUAGGACUUAGAAAAAAAAUUCAAAAAAAAGUGCUACUCCCUAUUUUAUUUUUUAUUUUUUUGGUUUGUUUAUGUUCUUAAAUUAUGUAAGAUACAUGUUAAUUAAUUAUUUUAGCAAUUAUAUGUUGUUUAUUUAUAGAUAUGGUUGAGAAUGCGGGUGAUCGAAAACCUAGUGUUGUCGAGAUCAAACCGCCGAAACAUGAAGUUUCCGUUAAGGUUGCAGUUUCCGUUAAAGUGGAGGCUACAAGUGUCAAUGCCGGUGUGUGGAAACUUCGUGACAACGAAGUGGACACGACUCAUUUCUUUUCGAGCCGAGAGACAUGGAAAGAUAAAGAUGAAUUGAUCGGUUGGGUACGUCGACAAGCAAAUAAAGCUGGAUUUACGAUUACCAUUAAAAGAUCUUGUGCAGUUAGCAAUCAUAUAUUGGAGUUGGUUUGUGAAAGUAGUGGCGAGCAGAAAGUAUCGAAGAAAAAAGUGAAGCAUGAAGCAACGAGAUCAAGAAAAUAUGAGUGUUUGUUCAAGGUGCGUGGAUAUGUCGUCAGGGAAGACAAUGCUUGGAAAUUGGCUAUUCUUUAUGGUGUUCACAACCACGAGAUGGUGCCGUUUUUAGCAGGGCACCUUCUUGCGGGAAGAUUAAUGGAGGACGACAAGAAAAUUAUACAUGACUUGACCAAUAGUUCGGUGAAACCAAAAAAUAUUUUGACAAAUUUGAAGAAGAAAAGACAAGAGUCUAUGACAAAUAUCAAGUAAGUCUACAAUGAACGUCAUAAAUUCAAAAAGGCAAAAAGGGGUGACUUAACGGAGAUGCAAUUUCUAAUCUCAAAGACUGUUUUGAUAAUGGAUUCCACGUAUAAAACCAACUUGUACAAGAUGCCACUGUUUUUAAUAGUCGGAGUCACCUCAACCUAUUUGACAUAUUAGGUUGGUUUUGCAUUUAUAACGUUGGAGAAGGAGAAUAACUUUAAUUGGGUUUUACAAAUGUUGCUUAAACUUCUUAAACCAAAUAGUGAUAUGCCUAAGGUGGUAGUGACUGAUUGGGACACGACUUUGGUGAAUGUCUAGCAAAUGUUCUUCCGAAUAGUAAUGCAAUACUUUGUUAUUUCCAUGUCGGGAAAUAUGUUAGAGCAAAAAUCAUCACCGAUUGUAAGUGAGACAAAAGGUUGUCAAAGAGGAUGGGCAAAAGAAGCUUGUCGGCGAGGUGAAGCAUAUUGAGAUAGUUGGAAUUGCAAGAGUUAUAUGCAAGUAAUCUAAUGGAAUUGCAAGAUGCUUGUAAGAAUUAUCCAAAGUUUCUUCCUUAUGUUCAAACUACCAUUUUGGAUACUGUGAAGGACAAAAUAGUGAGAGCAUGGACAGACUUUCUGUUACAUCUUGGGUGCAGGACCACAAAUAGAGUUGAAAGAGCACAUGGUAGAGUGAAGGAAUAUGUGUCCACUUCCAAGGGUGAUUUGGGUACUUGUUGGGAAAAAAUAGAUGAGAUGUUGGUAAUCCAGCUUGGGAAGAUACAAUCAUCGUUUGGUAGGAGCAUUACGGUCUUGGAACAUAGAUACAAAGAUGUCAAUUUCUACUCUGGGUUGGGGGGUAACAUGUCUAGAUAAGCCAUGAACUAUAUUUUUGUGGAAGAAGAGCGUGCUAGCAAAACCUUGUGCAUGAACAAGAAAACUUGUUGUUGUGGUUAAAGGACGUCGUAUGGCCUACCUUAUGCAUGCUUCAUUGCUAUAAAAAUCCGUCACAAAAAGCCUAUUCGAUUGGAUGAGAUACACCCGCAUUGACAUAAGUUAUAUAUGGGUGAAGAAAAAAGUAAUGAAAAAUUGUUUUCGAUCGCGGAGGAGUAGAGUGGUAUUCAAGAACAUCUCAAAAGAGUUCCGUACCAAAUGAAACUAAAAAUCAAAGAGGGGUUGCCAACGUUUCCAGAGACCACAAUGUUGUCACCACCUACAAAAAAGAUACCAACCAAAAGAGCAAAGAAGAAAAAUAAAAUCUACACUGAAAUCGACACGGAAAAAAUCUCCAAUCAACAUGUCCGGGAAACUAAGGUUAGAAUUAAACCUUUAUACUCAGUUGACCAAUUAAAUCGACGUCAAGCGACUAGUAUAAUUUCAAUUUUAGAGAAAUUAAGUGGAAAUAAUACAACGUGAUUUGAUUAUAAUUGUUAAUGUGACUAAUAUUUUUCAAAUAGAGGGAGUUGCGUACAACGCGAGGAAUGGUAAUUUAUUUUAUAAAUGGUUAGUAUAUGUCGCAAUCAACAAAGUCAAAGACUACUCUGAAAAAAAAAAGUCAAAGACAAUUUCCUCAAAAAAAAAAACAACAAAGUCAAAGACAAUUAAAAUUUGAAAGAUUAUAUGGAAUCUGAAAAUCCAAACUAAUUAGAUGUAGACAUGACAAAGCGACCCGCUCCGUUUAGACCAGCCAAAACGAGACAUGACAAAGUGAGCAGCACGAAAUGGACGAGUCAAUUUAAGUGACUAAGUCAAAAGUUUCACCCACCCCGCAUUGGGCGGAUUGACGAGAUGGUAGGCCGGUCUAUCAAACAAAAAAAGAAUUUACUUUUAUUUCAUUUUUGGGUUAACAACGUUUUACCUUUGUAAUAUAGGUCAUUUUCAGUUUCCCUCCGUAAGCAAAAAUUUUAUAUUUCAUCCUUAUAAUUUGAAGAUUAUUUGGUUUUAGAUCCUCAAGACAGUUGACUAAACAUUUAGGCUUAUGUUACGCAUUGAGUCAACAUUUUUUGAUUAUGCGACACGUUGACUAUGUAAUUAUUAAUUUUUUAAAAUUUAUUUUAAAUCAAAAAUAAAAAUAAAUUUAAAAAACAAGAAAAUUUAUUUUCGAAAAUAAUAAAAUUAGAUAAAAAAAUUCUAUAACUUAAUUUUCAAAAUAAAAAAAAUUAGAAAAUAUAUUUCAAAAAUUAGAAAAACAAAUUCGAAAUUAAAAAAAAAAAGUUCAAUUUUUUUUUUCCGAAAUAAAAAAGUUUUUCUAACUUAUCAUCAUAUUUUUCAUGAAAAUAUAUCUUCAAGGUUUUUUAUAUUUUUAACAAUUUGAUUAUUGUAAAAAAUAGGCUAUGUUAUUUAUAAAAAUAAAAUUGGUAGCAAAUCAAUUCGUGGUAAAACAAAAUUUUAUGAUGUAAAAUUGGAUUAUAACAAGUUAUUUGGUCGCUUCACUUUAAAUUAUGUCUAACCCAUUGAUAAAAUAAAAAUAAAAAUUGUAAGUUGAUGAGUUGACGGACUGGCCCGUCCCAUCCUUGCCCCGCCCUACUUUUUCAACAGUCAAGCAGGACGAGCCAACUAGAAGCGGCGAAUUCAAAACUCCAACACAACCCGCCAAAAAUAGUAGGCUAAAUGGGCCGGUUUGGCAGGUUGGACCCGUUUUGCCUUCCGUGUGGCAAUUGCUUUAUUUCCAGUCCAUUCAAAAUCGGGAUGCUUAGUGAGUUAGCAGACUCAAAACGACAAUGAUCGAUGAGUCAGACUCAGAACAAUGAUGAUCUAUGAGUUAGACUGAGAACAAUUUUCUUUUUCUAAUUUUUUUCCAUUAGGUCAUGUAUUUUUUAUUUAAGGCUAAAAUAUGGUUUUAGUCCCUGCAAAUAUGCCUCGUUUUGGUUUUAGUCCCUGUAAAAAAAAAUUGUUUUUGGUCCCUGCAAAGUUUUUGUUUUUUAAAAUAGUCCCUCAGGUACUAUUUUAAAAAACAAAAAAAUUUGCAGGGACCUUUUUAAAAAAUAAAAUAUUUUGCUGGGACCAAAAACUACAAAAUCGGUUCAGUCAUCAUGUGCCACGUAUGCAAAUCAUCACAAAAAUGGGGUCAGGGACUAUUUUAAAAAACAAAAAAUUUUGCAGGGACCAAAAACAAUUGUUUUUUUACAGGGACUAAAACCAAAACGAGACAUAUUUGCAGGGAGUAAAACCAUAUUUUAGCCUUAAAUAAAUACACAAUAUUUUAGGUCCCAAUGUUUCUUAGUUUUGAGGCCCAUCCUCAAUACUUUCCCUUCUCCCUCCAAUUCAACCAAACUCUCGUCCACCUAUUAGGUCAUGUAUUUUUAAAUUGAAACACAAUAUUUUAACAGUAAGCUAUGACAUAAUCAAUGUGUUGCUAUUAGACUCUGAAUCAGUUUGUCAUCUUUUGAAGGAAUGUCACUAUCAGAUUCAAGGUAGUAGAGUUUGUCUUCUUCUGACCACGUGCAGGAAAAAAAGGAAUUUAAGGACAACGAAAAUGUAACGGAUCAUAUUAUUAAGAGCAAAGAAAUUUCGAAUGACUACAAAACGACAUUAACCAUUCGAGGCAACAAAACUCAAGGUGAAAAAAUCUUACAAACUCUUAGAUAUAAUCUUACAAACUUUCAGAUCUAGAAUUUCUUAAGCUUCAGAAGUCAUCUGAACCUUAAUUGCUUACACCUUUGAUUGUACGUGAUGUGUGAAGGUGAAAAAAACACAAGGCGGGAUUGAAUUGGUUGGGUUUUUUCUGAUUUAGAGAGAGAGAGAGAGAGAGAGAGAGAGAGAGAGAGGGGGGGAGGGAGGGAGGUCACAAAGCAUUUAUACUGGUUCCUCCUACAAUCUAAGAGUAGUCCAGUUCCCCUACACUUUCAAGGGACUUCCAAAUGUUCAAGCACACAAGCAAGUGACUUCCAAAUGCUCAGUCACAACUGAAAGAGACUUCUAAGAGUUUACAAAUAAACAAAGUUGUUCUCACACUUGAUAUACAAUCAGAGGUGUAAACAAUUAAAUACAUAUAAGACUUUAUGAAAUUAUAAUUUCUAACAUAUGAACUUAGUAAGAAAUUCUUAAGUGUUCUAUGUGCUUUUGAAUUUAACAGAGUAAGGGCACAAUUUAAAAUAGCAGAGUCAUGUUAUUAUUCUUCAAGUCUUCAACUCCUUAUAUAGGCAAGGAUUUGAGAGACGAUGCCAGCGCAUUGAGAGUCGUUGAGAAGUUUCAAAUCAAGGACGUUAGGUCUUUGCCUGAUAAGGAUAAUGUCGUGGAUUAUUCAUUUGAAAUUCCUUUUGCUGCAACUAGAAUUAUCUGUUCGUUCUCUUUGUACUUGAAGUUCUUUGUUUUUUUACACGUGGUCAGAGGAAGACAAACUGUACUUUCAGAGUCUUGAUAAAGACUGCUACAUAAGAGGACAAAUUUGACGAGGAUUCUAGGUCCCUAAGGGUCUUCUAUUCUUCAGAGUUUGGAGGUUUUCAGAGUCUGAUGUAGAUCUUUAACUUCUGAGUGUUUUCCUUUCUAUUGAUCCAAGGUGUUGACUUCUGGUUGACAUUUCUUUAGAUCUUCUACCAUAGUCUUUUGGCUUCUCUUUGUGCUUCUGAUGCUCUUAUACAUGUUCAGACCUUGUUAAAUUUUAAUAUAUGGUCCUGCACACUUGAACAUAUAUUAACAUAUCCAGUUGUUUUUCAAUACUUUGUUAUCAUCAAUACUUCAAAGGAUUUGUGUUUGAUUUUAAUAUGUUGCUUAAUUAUAUGUUUCAGACUCUGAAAAUGACUAUGUUCUGUUUUUACAAACACUUAAAAAUAGAUUUGAAAAAAGCAAUAUAAUUCAACCCCUUUUCUUAUGUUUUUCUCACUUUUAAAUUUAGAGUUUUUCUAUUUACACCCCAUGUUUUUCUGGUUACACCUAAAUUUUCUUAAUUUUUUUUAUAAUACCAAAAUUGCCCUUUAUAUAAAUUUUCUUAAAACCCUAAUUUUAUUCAUUGUCAGUGAGUUUCACCCUCUUUUACCCCACAAAGCGAUUGAUCAAACAAUUUGAUGUUCAAUAUCAAUCUCCAUGAAAAUUAAAGAGUGAAUCAAAAUAUUUUUCAUCCAUACUCAAUUGGAUAUAAGUAAGUGAAUUUCUUCUUCUAUUUGCUAGUUUCAAUUCUUUUCCUUCAACUGCAAUGAUGCACUGUACGAUUACGGUUUUAAUUUACAUUGGCAAGGUUAACUUAAAUUCAGUUUAAGUAGGUUCAUGUAAACUAAGUUUACAUGAACCUACUUAAACUGAGUUUACAUAAACCUACUUAAAUUGAGUUAACAUGAACUUACUUAAACUGAGUUUACAUGAACCUACUUAAACUGAGUUUACAUGAACCUACUUAAACUGAGUUUAGAAAAUCGCAGAACUCGCAGAACAAGGAAAACACAAAAUCAGAACUGAGAACCCAUAACAAGAAAAACACAAUCGAUUGAAGAACAACACUUGCUAACCUGAUUUGCUUCGAAUUUUCUUUGAAAUCAUGAAUGGACGUGAGAAAGUAUGGUUUUGAAAAUCUUCGCAGAACACAAUGAAUCGAUUGGAGAAUUAUGGUUUUGGAAGAAAGGUUUUGGGGUGUAACCAAAAAAGAAGGAAUAGGCUUUUUGAAAAUCAAAUUUUAUGAAAGGGUAAUCUUGUCAUUUUAGGGUGCAACCAUGAUUAACUAGGGUGCAAGUAGAAAAACUCUUAAAUUUAUCCUUUGGAUAAAUAAAACGUUAAUUUAUUCUAGUUUUUCAAUGUGAACAUCAAUUACUUAAAGAAUGAACAUUAAUUGUUUUAUUUUUGGUCAAGAAAAAGAACUUUAAUUUAUUCUUGCAUUUCAAUGUGAACAUCAAUUACUUAACAAUAGAUUAUAUGUCCAAUUGACCAAUUAAAUCGCCAUCACGUUAUAUUUUCAGAGAAAUUAAGUUGGAAAGAUACGACAUGAUUUGAUCAUAAUUGUUAAUGUCACUGACUUCUAGAACUGUUAAUGUCACUAAUAUUUUUAAAACUGAGGGAGUUGCGUACAAAAGCGUGAGAGGGUAAUUCUUUAUGAUUCAUUUCCAGUCCAUUCAAAAUAGGAUUCUAAACACAAGCUUAGAAUUUGACUCAUCUGAUUUUUCACUUUUCAAUACAAAGCACUAAACUACAGCUUUUCAUCCUUUUUCUAGAUUCAGAUUUCGAAACCAGGUAAUCUCUCGUUCUCUUGUAUUCUUAUGAUAAUUAGAAGAUUCAACUUGCAACCUGUAUUUACUAUUUAGAAUCAAAAUUUUGCUUGCUCAUUUCCAACACACAUACUGCAAUCAAAAUUUCUUUAUGCAAUUCUAAAUUAGGUUACUUAAAUAGUUUUUAUUCUUGUUCGAAUCUGCAAAAUAGUACAAAUCCUGUUCUUUUUAUGUGUCGGUUUAAAAAACUUUUUUAUCCCCUAAGUUAAUAUUCCAUCCAGUCUUAAAUGUUAGGAAAAAAAAAAAAACCACACAUAUUAAGAAAGUGGACUAACAAUAUUGAAGUCAUCAUAAAACAUUAUAACUUUCCAAUUUUGCCUUUAUCUUCGGAUUUUAUAUUUAAGUCAUGAACGUGACUUUUGAACUCAACAUGGGAAUGUGAAACAGAUUGGAAAUAAAUAAAUGAGGGUAAAAUUGAAAUAGUGACAUUUAAUAGGAUGAUUUAAUUAAACUUUUCAUUACAUUUGAGUCCACCAAUUUUUUUAUUUUGUUUCUUACAUUCGAGAUCGGAGGGAGUAGUUGUGUCCGGUUCGGUCUGAUAUUUGGAUCGGUUGUGCAGUUGAAUCGGUCAGAUCCGGCGUGACUCGCUAAAACUCGGAAUAAAUUGGUGGCUUGGCCGGUUUAGCGAACCGGACCAGGUCAAUACACAACUUGAUUUCAAUUGAUAAAAAAAACCAGAAAGUGAGAAAAGUGAGAAAGAUUAUCGUACAGAAGAGAAGAUCUCACGAUGGAAGGGAGGAAGAUGUGAGAAGGAAAGAACAAGGAUUGAAGAUCAAAUAUGCUAUGUGUUUUUUUAUUUGAGAUCUACUUUUUAGAUGAAUGCUGCAGUACAAGUCACUAAAGUGUAGUACAAUACAUAUCUGUAGUACAAUAGACUUGUGUAUAUAUUACUAAUUAUACUCUCAUUCACAAAUCAAUAGAAAAUCCAUUCAUUUCUCUUAUUUCAUAUUAGGUUUCAAUUUGCUAACUGCAUUGACUGAGUGAUUUUUAUUCCAUUAAUUAAAAAUAGGAGACCAUUUAAAAAAUUGAUCACUUACGUGACCCCAAGAUUAGUUUUACUCAUGCUUUUGUUAACUUCAUUUGCCAAAGGAUGGAAGCCCUUGCUGUUACAAUCUUGGAAAAGUUGAGCUCUGCAGCUUACAAAGAGCUCGGAAUCAUUUGGAAUUUCAAAGAGGAUAUGGAACGAAUGAAGAACACAGUCUCCAUGAUAAAAGCCGUGCUUCUCGAUGCAGAGUCCAAGGCCAAUAAUCAUCAAGUUAGUAAUUGGUUGGAGAAGCUGAAAGAUGUACUUUAUGAUGCAGAUGAUUUACUAGAUGAUUUUUCCAUUGAAGCUUUGAGAAGAAAAGUAAUGGCUGGAAACAACAGAGUAAGACGUACAAAAGCUUUCUUCUCAAAAUCAAACAAAAUUGCCCAUGGCCUUAAAUUGGGCCGUCGAAUGAAAGCAAUCCAAAAGAGGCUAGAUGACAUUGCUAACAAUAAGCAUGCACUGCAACUGAAUGACCGCCCUAUGGAGAAUCCAAUUGUAUAUAGGGAACAGAGACAAACUUACUCUUUCGUAAGUACAGAUGAAGUUAUUGGAAGAAAUGAGGAAAAGAAAUGUAUUAAAAGUUAUCUACUAGAUGACAAUGCAACAAAUAAUGUUUCUAUAGUUCCCAUAGUUGGCAUUGGAGGAUUAGGUAAGACUGCACUUGCUCAACUAGUCUACAAUGAUAAUGAUGUUCAAAAGCAUUUUGAGCUAAAAAUGUGGGUGUAUGUCUCGGAUGAAUUUGAUUUGAAGAAAAUAUCUCGGGAUAUCAUUGGGGAUGAAAAGAAUAGUCAAAUGGAGCAAGUACAACAACAACUUAGAAACAAAAUUGAAGGGAAAAAGUUUUUGCUUGUGUUAGAUGACGUGUGGAAUGAGGAUCAUGAGUUGUGGCUUAAAUUGAAGAGCAUGUUCAUGGAAGGUGGAAAAGGAAGUAUGAUAAUUGUUACAACGCGUAGUCAGACUGUGGCAAAAAUAACAGGCACACAUCCACCCCUUUUCCUAAAAGGUUUGGAUUCACAAAAAUUCCAGGAGCUAUUCUCUCGAGUGGCUUUCGGCGAGUUGAAAGAACAAAAUGAUUUGGAGUUGUUAGCUAUAGGAAUGGACAUUGUUAAGAAAUGUGCUGGCAUUCCCCUUGCCAUAAGAACUAUUGGCAGCCUUUUGUUUUCUCGAAAUUUGGGCCGGAGUGACUGGCUUUAUUUCAAGGAUGCCGAGUUUUCAAAGAUAGAUCAACACAAGGAUAAAAUCUUUGCAAUCCUUAAACUGAGUUAUGAUCAUCUUCCAUCGUUUCUAAAAAAGUGCUUUGCCUAUUGUUCACUGUUUCCAAAAGGUUUUAUGUUUGAAAAGAAGACACUCAUUCAGUUAUGGGUAGCUGAGGGGUUCGUUCAACAAUCAAAUGAUAUUAGAUGUGUAGAAGAUAUUGGUCAUGAGUACUUCAUGAGUUUGCUGUCAAUGUCUUUCUUUCAAGAUGUUACUAUAGACGAUUGUGAUGGAAUAAGCACCUGUAAAAUGCAUGACAUUAUGUAUGAUCUAGCGCAACUAGUGACCGAGAAUGAAUAUGUCGUGGUUGAAGGAGAAGAACUAAACAUAGGAAACAGAACACGUUAUUUGUCAUCUCGUAGGGGUAUACAACUAUCACUAACAUCAUCAUCUUCCUACAAGUUAAGGACAUUUCAUGUGGUCGGUCCACAAUCAAAUGCAAGCAAUCGUUUGCUUCAGUCAGAUGAUUUUUCCUUCUCAGGCUUAAAGUUCUUGCGUGUGUUGACACUUUGUGGGUUGAAUAUUGAAGAAAUCCCAAAUAGUAUUGAAGAAAUGAAGCAUUUAAGAUAUAUUGAUCUAUCACGGAACAAUGUACUUAAAAAUCUUCCUCCGACCAUUACUAGCCUACUGAACUUGCAAACUCUAAAACUUUCUGAUUGUUCUAAGCUUGAAAUAUUGCCAGAAAAUCUCAAUAGAAGUCUCAGGCAUCUUGAGUUAAAUGGUUGCGAGAGUUUGACAUGUAUGCCACGUGGGCUAGGACAGUUGACUGAUCUUCAAACACUAACACUUUUUGUACUGAACUCUGGAAGUACAAGUGUAAAUGAGUUGGGUGAGCUAAACAACCUGAGAGGGAGAUUAGAAUUAAAAGGGUUGAAGUUCCUGCGAAAUAAUGCUGCAGAGAUUGAAUCUGCAAAAGUACUUGUUGAGAAGCGACACCUUCAACAAUUGGAAUUGCGAUGGAAUCAUGUCGACGAGGAUCCUUUUGAGGAUGAUCCUUUUGGAGUUUGGUAUGUUAAACUAUCGCAAUUACCAUACAACAAUUCUGUGGAAGAUGAGAUCAUUUUACAAGGCCUGCAGCCACACCACCAUUCACUUCGAAAACUAGUUAUAGAUGGGUUUUGCGGCAAAAAGUUACCAGACUGGAUAUGUAAUCUCUCAUCGCUCUUGACUCUUGAGUUCCACAAUUGCAGUAGUUUGACAUCACCGCCUCCUGAACAAAUGUGUAACCUUGUAUCUUUGCGGACACUUCGCAUUUCAAAUUGCCCAUUAUUAAAAUUGAGUAAUAUAUCUGGCAUCCGAGCAAUCAAGAUCAUCAGGGACGGAACCAGGUAUUGUUGUUUGCACCUGCACACCAUGGGUUUUUGCUGUUUGCACCUGCACACCAUGGGUUUUUGCUAUUUGCACAAAUAAUAUUACUUUUAUGUUAUUUGCACAUGAUUUUUGUUUUGCACCUCCUCACCAAAGAGGCCAAGACUAAAUCACACUCACGCUCUCAUAUUGACUGGUGACAUUUGGCUUUUAAAGUUCAAUCCUAUUAAUUUUCUCAUAAAAGGACUUUUAGUGCCAUAACAAAUCAUAUGCAUUUGUUAUUCACUUUGGAAAACAAAUAUUAAUCUAUCCGUCAUAAAAUAACUGAGUUAUUUAUAAAAAAAAAAUUGUCCUAAAGACACUUAAAUUAAUAUUAAUUUUAUCACUUUUUAUUCAAUAUAUUAUACUAAAAAAAGAUAUGACAUACAUCCACUGAUGUUUUCUACGUCAAUUGAUGAAUAUGACAACACAUUUGUUUUCAACCAUAAAAAAUGAUGUGACAACAUAUCAUUAAAUGCAUGUAUAAAAUCACGUUACAUAUAUGCAUGUAUUUAUGUAUGUAUAAAUUUAAUAUUAAUAAUAAUACUAAUUAUAAAGUUAAAAUUUUGCAACCGUAAUGCAGGGUUCGGGAUACGCCAAUGAAAUUCAUUCCUGGGAGUCCAUCAUUACUCAAGUAUUUUUCUUGAGUCAAAAUCUUUCAUCAAUCAUGGAGGUAUUUCUGAAUCCACUCUCUUAUAUCCAUCAAUUUUUUAUGACAUUUUUUAUGGUACAUUUUGCUAUUAUUGAGUUAACUUUCUCUUGACCUUUAUGCCUAACUUUUGUUUUGAUAUUCAAUUUUUCAUCACUUGGAUCAUUUUGGUUUUGAUAUUUGGCUAGACGAUACAUACAUCUGUUUAGAUAAAUGGAUUCCUUGAUUUUAUUUAGGCUUUUAUGUGUUUAGUUCUUGUAAAUAGGAGUUAUUUAAAAAAUGGUCAUUGUAUUAUUUGAUAAUGACUUAAAAAUGCCCCUGUAAUUAGUGUAAUAGAAGUGACUUAAAAACGUUUAUUUACAGGGAGCUUCUACGGUACACCUCACAAAUUGAGGUGUACCGAUACUCUGUUUCAUAAAUUUAUAAAUUAAUGAUCAUUUUAUGAGAUAAGUUGUUAUUUGUCAUUAUUUAUAUUUUAGAAAACACCAUCUCAGGAGAAAAAAAACAUCAUUUCAUUGUUUAUAUGAAUUAUAUUAAAUUUUUAACAUUUUCUCAUAAAAAAUAAUCAAUAUUCUUCAUUAUGAGCAAUAAAAAUUCAAAAAAAGUAAAUUUUAUUUCAUCGACGCUUUUGGUAAAUAAGAUUUAAUUAUUAUAAUUGUCAAUGAUAGAAAAUAAUUAUUUUUUCUUCAAAAAACAAUCAAUUUAAUUAUUAAUUUAAUGUUUGGUGUACCGGUACACUCAAAAUGUUGGGUGUACCAUAGAAUUUGCCUUAUUUACAAGGUAAUAUUCUUGGUGGCCAUUUAAUGACUGCCACGUCACUGUAACUACAAACGUGAAAUUACAAAAAUGCCCUUGUAAUUAGUGAUCUGGCGGUGAUUAAGUGGGGGAGAGGGACGAAAUUUUAAGUGAUUAAAUUUUGUGUAUCUUAUUAUUAUAAGCAAUAUUCUUUAUUAUUAUAAUUAAGCAAUAUUUAGUGACCCCUUGUAAAUAACGUUACUUCGGUGACAUAGAAAAUGUGUAUCUUAUUAUUCUAAGCAAUAUUCUUUAGGUUAAACUUCACUUUUCGCCCUAUAAGUUUUAAAAUGUUGCGAUUUUGGCCCCCUAUUAAAAAAAGUAGCAAAAGUGACCCCAUAUGUUUAGGGAAAUAUGCUCUUUUGACCUCUUAACAUAAGGGAAAUAUGCUUUUUGACCCCUUAUCUUUACAAAAAGUUGCGAUUAUUGCCCCUUUUUUGGGACACGUGGCGUCUUCUCAGCAAUUUUAGGAUGAAAGGGGCCAAAAUUGCCAUUUUUUUUAAUAGGGGGCCAAAAUCACUAUUUUAAAACAUAGAGGGCGAAAAGUGCACUUUAGCCUAUUCUUUAUUAUUGCUUUCUCUUUUUUGAUGAUUAAAUGGUGGCCAAUAACUACUGCAGGAACAAGGCAGUUGCUAAACUGUUCCAAGGAGCAAAAUGGUGGUCAAUAAAUUGGUAACUCUUUCACAUCAUCCAUGACUUUGGUAAUCUCACCAAACGUACUUUGGGUAACACUAUCCAUGACUUCACUGUUUUCUGAAAAUGUGUCAAUUGUUCCUUGGAAGAUCAUCAAUCAUUGGAUGAACUCUAUCUCUCUCACUAAGAUUAUGCAUUCUAGAGUACCUCAUAUUAGGUGCAUGGGAUUUGUUAACUUCUUGUAUCAGUGAAGACCUCUUCUGUAAUAGGAAUAUUA